RNAcentral lists this ribosomal RNA (494 nucleotides) under uncultured bacterium. Its description in RNAcentral is "partial 16S ribosomal RNA". It matches the Rfam family "Bacterial small subunit ribosomal RNA", at positions 28 to 507 of the family's 1533-position model. The record is from RNAcentral.
GACGAACGCUGGCGGCGUGCUUGACACAUGCAAGUCGAACGGAAAGGCCUGCUUUCCCUUGUGGAUUGCGGGUACUCGAGUGGCGAACGGGUGAGUAACACGUGAGUGAUCUGCCCCCAACUUGGGUAUAAGCCUGGGAAACUGGGUCUAAUUCCCGAUAGGACUGCAGGGUGGUGCCUGUGGUGGAAAACGAUUUUCUAGUGGUUGGGGAUGAGCUCGCGGCCUAUCAGCUUGUUGGUGGGGUAAUGGCCUACCAAGGCGGCGACGGGUAGCCGGCCUGAGAGGGUGGACGGCCACAUUGGGACUGAGAUACGGCCCAGACUCCUACGGGAGGCAGCAGUGGGGAAUAUUGCACAAUGGGCGGAAGCCUGAUGCAGCGACGCCGCGUGGGGGAUGACGGCCUUCGGGUGGUAAACUCCUUUCGACCGCGAGGAAGCCACCUGGUUGGAAGGGUGGUGACGGUAGUGGUAGAAGAAGCACCGGCUAACUACGUG